UACGUAGGGAGCGAGCGUUGUCCGGAUUUAUUGGGCGUAAAGAGCUCGUAGGCGGUUUGGUAAGUCGGGUGUGAAAGCUCCGGGCUCAACUCGGAGAGGUCACUCGAUACUGCCAUGACUGGAGUCCGGUAGGGGGGUGUGGAAUUCCCGGUGUAGUGGUGAAAUGCGUAGAUAUCGGGAGGAACACCAGUGGCGAAGGCGGCCACU
RNAcentral lists this ribosomal RNA (207 nucleotides) under uncultured bacterium. RNAcentral's name for it is "partial 16S ribosomal RNA". It matches the Rfam family "Bacterial small subunit ribosomal RNA", at positions 524 to 729 of the family's 1533-position model. The record is from RNAcentral.